RNAcentral lists this ribosomal RNA (465 nucleotides) under uncultured bacterium. RNAcentral's name for it is "partial 16S ribosomal RNA". It matches the Rfam family "Bacterial small subunit ribosomal RNA", at positions 338 to 795 of the family's 1533-position model. The record is from RNAcentral.
CCUACGGGAGGCUGCAGUAGGGAAUCUUCCACAAUGGGCGAAAGCCUGAUGGAGCAACGCCGCGUGGGUGAAGAAGGUCUUCGGAUCGUAAAACCCUGUUGUUAGAGAAGAAAGUGCGUGAGAGUAACUGUUCACGUUUCGACGAUAUCUAACCAGAAGGCCACGGCUAACUACGUGCCAGCAGCCGCGGUAAUACGUAGGUGGCAAGCGUUAUCCGGAUUGAGUGGGCGUAAAGGGAACGCAGGCGGUCUUUUAAGUCUGAUGUGAAAGCCUUCGGCUUAACCGGAGUAGUGCAUUGGAAACUGGGAGACUUGAGUGCAGAAGAGGAGAGUGGAAUUCUAUGUGUAGCGGUGAAAUGCGUAGAUAUAUGGAAGAACACUAGUGGCGAAAGCGGCUUUCUGGUCUGUAACUGACGCUGAGGUGCGAAAGCGUGGGUAGCAAACAGGAUUAGAUACCCGGGUAGUC